Molecule: ribosomal RNA, 497 nt
Filed under: uncultured bacterium
Lineage: Bacteria
Description: partial 16S ribosomal RNA
Rfam family: Bacterial small subunit ribosomal RNA
Source: RNAcentral
GAUGAACGCUGGCGGCAUGCCUAAUACAUGCAAGUCGAGCGAACGGACCAGGACCUUGCUUCUCUGGGUUUGUCGGCGGACGGGUGAGUAACACGUGUAUAACCUACCUAUAAGACUGGGAUAACUUCGCGAAACCGUAGCUAAUACCGGAUGAUAUUUUGAACCGCAUUGUUCAAGAGUUAAAUACGGUCUUGCUUUCACUUAUAGAUUGAUCCGCCCUGCAUUAGCUAGUUGGUAAGGUAACUGCUUACCAAGGCAACGAUGCAUACCCGCCCUGAAAGGGUGAUUGGACAGCCUGGAACUGAGACACGGCACCGACUCCUGCGGGAGGACGCAGUCGGGACUCUUACGCAAUGGGGGAAAGCGUGAUGGUGCACCGCCGCGGGAGUGCUGAAGGUGCUCGGCUCGUAAAACUAUGUUAUUAGGGAAGAACAUAUGUGUAAGUACCCGUGAACAUAUUGACGGUACCUAAUCAGAAAGCCACGGCUAACUCCGUG